CCUACGGGGGGCAGCAGUGAGGAAUAUUGGUCAAUGGCCGUAAGGCUGAACCAGCCAAGUCGCGUGAAGGAAGAAGGAUCUAUGGUUUGUAAACUUCUUUUAUAGGGGAAUAAAGGUAUCCACGUGUGGAUAUUUGCAUGUACCCUAUGAAUAAGCAUCGGCUAACUCCGUGCCAGCAGCCGCGGUAAUACGGAGGAUGCGAGCGUUAUCCGGAUUUAUUGGGUUUAAAGGGUGGGUAGGUUGUUGUUUAAGUCAGGGGUGAAAGUUUGUGGCUCAACCAUAAAAUUGCCGUUGAAACUGGCAGACUUGAGUGUGUUUGAGGUAGGCGGAAUGCGUGGUGUAGCGGUGAAAUGCAUAGAUAUCACGCAGAACUCCGAUUGCGAAGGCAGCUUACUAAGCCAUAACUGACACUGAAGCACGAAAGCGUGGGGAUCAAACAGGAUUAGAUACCCCUGUAGUC
RNAcentral lists this ribosomal RNA (460 nucleotides) under uncultured bacterium. RNAcentral's name for it is "partial 16S ribosomal RNA". It matches the Rfam family "Bacterial small subunit ribosomal RNA", at positions 338 to 795 of the family's 1533-position model. The record is from RNAcentral.